Molecule: non-coding RNA, 118 nt
Filed under: Pseudomonas inefficax
Lineage: Bacteria; Pseudomonadati; Pseudomonadota; Gammaproteobacteria; Pseudomonadales; Pseudomonadaceae
Also listed under: 1 other name
Description: Pseudomonas sp. JV551A3 Pseudomon-groES
Rfam family: Pseudomon-groES RNA
Source: RNAcentral
GUAGUGGUCACCGCAAGGUUUCUGGUGGCAACACCAGUCAUUACUCAGGCGGUUCGCCUUGGGCGAGCGGCCUUCCGGCAACGCCGGAUAGCAUUAACCCGCCGGUGUCGACACCGGC